Molecule: ribosomal RNA, 484 nt
Filed under: uncultured bacterium
Lineage: Bacteria
Description: partial 16S ribosomal RNA
Rfam family: Bacterial small subunit ribosomal RNA
Source: RNAcentral
AUUGAACGCUGGCGGCAGGCCUAACACAUGCCAGUCGAGCGGAUGAAGGGAGCUUGCUCCUGGAUUCAGCGGCGGACGGGUGAGUAAUGCCUAGGAAUCUGCCUGGUAGUGGGGGAUAACGUCCGGAAACGGGCGCUAAUACCGCAUACGUCCUGAGGGAGAAAGUGGGGGAUCUUCGGACCUCACGCUAUCAGAUGAGCCUAGGUCGGAUUAGCUAGUUGGUGGGGUAAAGGCCUACCAAGGCGACGAUCCGUAACUGGUCUGAGAGGAUGAUCAGUCACACGGGAACUGAGACACGGUCCAGACUCCUACGGGAGGCAGCAGUGGGGAAUAUUGGACAAUGGGCGAAAGCCUGACCCAGCAAGGCCGCGUGUGUGAAGAAGGUCUUCGGAUUGUAAAGCACUUUAAGUUGGGAGGAAGGAAAGUAAGUUAAUACCUGGCUGUUUUGACGGUACCAAAAGAAUAAGCACCGGCUAACUUCGUG